Salvia splendens (bonfire salvia) is the source of this 878-nucleotide long non-coding RNA. RefSeq lists it as uncharacterized. The record is from RefSeq and is a predicted model, not a curated record. The transcript has 5 exons. Lineage: Eukaryota; Viridiplantae; Streptophyta; Magnoliopsida; Lamiales; Lamiaceae.
UCUUCCCCUCCAAUCUGCGGAACCCGACGCCGACCGAGAAGGGAAAUCUCCGAGAAAUUGUUGAAGAAUCGAAGACCGAUUGCUGUAAAAUAUCUCUACAUACUGUUAUAAGUUAAUCACAAGUAUGAUGUGGUGAAAUAAUGUAUCGCAGAUGCAUUCUGUAAUUAUGAAGCCAGUACUUACCAAAUUUGAUUGUUUUUUUUUGUCUGUGAUAACGUUUUAGGUUUCCGAUUGGAGCAUAUGGAUUACAAUCAUUCAAAAUUCUACUACUAUUUAAUUUCUUCUACAUAAUUAUUAGAUUUUUGUUUGUUUGUUUGUGAAUGGGAAGGGGAGGCAGUUGUUGAUGCUCACAAUUGGUGAAAGGCGUAUUUUCUGCAGUACAAGUGUUAGUGAAAACCAAUAAAAAUUUGGGACUCAGGCAUUUGCUGGAACUUGCUGCUGCAGUUCAGCCCAUAAAAGUUGAAUAAAAAACAAUAGAUGAUGUGCAACAGUUUGUAACAAGGAGACUUGAACAACUUCUGAUUGACCAAGGAAUAAUUCCAGAUGUAGUUCGCUCUGUUCUUGCAAAGCGUGGCCAUUUGCCUUGUCUGGCAGCCAGAUCCGCGUAUAAACUUUGAAUACGAGAUGAACUUUUUCCAAGAAUUGUGGCGUGAAAUGCAUCAAGAACUACGUGAGUAAAAAUGGGAGAUGGACGAAAUGAUGAAGGAGUUUAUGACGUCCAAGCAACCCCAACAAUCAAGUCACACUCCUGAUUAUGAUGAUGAGUUGAUAUAUCUCAUGAGCUCACUUGAAAACUCGACACUUUAUGUUAUUAUUUGCUUCGUAUAUUGGUUGUAUUUUGACUAAUAUUUUUGAGGUUAAUCAAUGAUAAUUGUCAU